UUGCUAUCUGCGAUAUGGAAGAUUCGAACCUGCCGCAGGUUCGGGUCGAACGCAGUGAGACAACGGAGCCGUUUACGGCGACGGCCCGAAGGGCGAGCGAAGCGAGUCAUCCUGCACGACUCAUCA
This 126-nucleotide small RNA is filed under the name Salmonella enterica. Its description in RNAcentral is "RtT sRNA". It matches the Rfam family "RtT RNA". Rfam says of the family: This family represents a bacterial cis-regulatory element known as RtT RNA. The exact function of RtT is unknown although it is thought that it may be involved in changing the cellular response in relation to amino acid starvation. The record is from RNAcentral. Lineage: Bacteria; Pseudomonadati; Pseudomonadota; Gammaproteobacteria; Enterobacterales; Enterobacteriaceae. RNAcentral also lists the same sequence under 2 other names.